RNAcentral lists this long non-coding RNA (259 nucleotides) under Pelobates cultripes (western spadefoot toad). The record is from RNAcentral. Lineage: Eukaryota; Metazoa; Chordata; Amphibia; Anura; Pelobatidae.
AUGUUAUAUUGGUUUCACUGGUAAUAAUAAAUAAUUGAAAUAGGUAUAUAUUUGUUUUUUGUUAAGUUGCCUAAUAAUUAUGCACAGUAAUAGUCACCUGCGCACACAGAUAUCCCCCUAACAUAGCUAAAACUAAAAACAAACUAAAAACUACUUCCAAAAAUAUUCAGCUUUGAUAUUAAUGAGUUUUUUGGGUUCAUUGAGAACAUGGUUGUUGUUCAAUAAUAAAAUUAAUCCUCAAAAAUACAACUUGCCUAAU